Molecule: ribosomal RNA, 666 nt
Filed under: Triticum aestivum (bread wheat)
Lineage: Eukaryota; Viridiplantae; Streptophyta; Magnoliopsida; Poales; Poaceae
Description: partial small subunit ribosomal RNA
Source: RNAcentral
AUGUGCUUCUCUUUUACUUCUCUGUUUAUUUCUAAAAAGAAAAAAGAAAAAAAAAAGUGGAGAGAGGAGCAGCGCAGCAGCCAGCCCACUACUUGCCUGCCUAGCGAAGGCCCUCCUUUCCCCUUAACCCUAGCGAUGACGCCCGAGAAUCUCGACCCCUUCUGCGCCGCCACACACCACACAAGCUCCUCGAGAUCUCCUCGCCCCCACAUCGGCGAGCUCCUCCGCCACGCCUCCCCUUCCCUUCCCCAUCCUCCUCCUGCUUUUUUCGCGCCUAGCCAAGAGCCUCCAACACGCUCGCGUGAGGCCUCGCGCCCGCGCCACCCUCCGGCGCCACCUUCCUCCCUCCUCUCCUCUCAUGCCUCGUGCGCGCCGAACGCGCCUCUCCUCCCUGCUCGAUCGGGCGCACAGAAGGGCGCCUCCCAUGGCUGCCGUUGCCCGACGUUGUUGCUUAGAGCAUGGUUGCCAAUCGCCGCCUCGACCUCCUCUGCUUCCCCGCGCCCAACUUGCUCCGCUCCUCGCUCCGGCUGCAUCAUUUUUUUCCGAAUCUUCACCUCGGCUGUCUCCGACGACAGUAUUGGAUUCAAGUGCUUCUCCUUUUUGAUUGGUCGUAUCUCACCCUACUUCUGCUGGCUUGUUGCUUCUUGUAAUUUCGAACGUAUAUAA